RNAcentral lists this ribosomal RNA (254 nucleotides) under uncultured bacterium. Its description in RNAcentral is "partial 16S ribosomal RNA". It matches the Rfam family "Bacterial small subunit ribosomal RNA", at positions 524 to 776 of the family's 1533-position model. The record is from RNAcentral.
UACGUAGGGACCAAGCGUUGUUCGGAUUUACUGGGCGUAAAGGGCGCGUAGGCGGCAAUUCAAGUCAUCUGUGAAAUCUCCGGGCUUAACCCGGAACGGUCAGGUGAUACUGUCUUGCUAGAGUGCGGAAGGGGCAAUCGGAAUUCUUGGUGUAGCGGUGAAAUGCGUAGAUAUCAAGAGGAACACCUGAGGUGAAGACGGGUUGCUGGGCCGACACUGACGCUGACAGCGCGAAAGCUAGGGGAGCAAACAGG